This 276-nucleotide ribosomal RNA is filed under the name uncultured prokaryote. RNAcentral describes it as "partial 16S ribosomal RNA". It matches the Rfam family "Bacterial small subunit ribosomal RNA", at positions 524 to 800 of the family's 1533-position model. The record is from RNAcentral.
UACGUAGGGGGCUAGCGUUAUCCGGAAUUACUGGGCGUAAAGGGUGCGUAGGUGGUUUCUUAAGUCAGAGGUGAAAGGCUACGGCUCAACCGUAGUAAGCUUUUGGAACUGUAAGACUUGAGUGCAGGAGAGGAGAGUGGAAUUCCUAGUGUAGCGGUGAAAUGCGUAGAGAUUAGGAAGAACACCAGUGGCGAAGGCGAUUCUCUGGACUGUAACUGACGCUGAGGCUCGAAAGCGUGGGGAGCAAACAGGAUUAGAUACCCGCGUAGUCCCUGA